GGAUGAUUGGUAUUUCGCUUGUUUGUUAUCGGUUGUACAACUCUUGCUUGGAAGAUGAGGGCGAAUGGGCUCUCUGUGAAAAGAUUGCUGGGAGUGAGGCCGAUCAGGGUUGGCGGUGAGCUGAUAGAGGUGAAGGUCGGACACAUUGACCGAAUGGAAUCUCUGAUUAACUCUGCACUUAAUCGGCGAAGGCAAUCGAUUACGCCCUUCUGCUUCGUCAACAACUUCAGGUCUCUAACAAUUACGCCCCUAUGCUUCAUGUCGUGCUUCAUGUCUUGUCUUUGACGCUUAUCAAUGAUCAACAAGAAAGAAAAAUUCUGAAACAACUGGUUUUUGAAAACCACCUUCUUGACAUGCAUCAUGAUGCUAGAUUUACACAGUUCAGGCCGUCGAUAAUUGCACUUGUGGGAAUUAUAGCUGAAAGAGAAGAUGGGCUUGGCGACUUCUGGGACCAUGUUUUCGGUUCCGAAUUUGUUGAUCUCAAUGAUCUGGUAAGGAAAUAUAAAAGGAAGUACAAGUUCUGAUCAAGUCCUUGUUGGGGAUUCGAACGUUCCAAACCCACAAGCAAACGCACACAAUCGAAGAACAAACCAAGAACAGAAAACAAAAUAAAGCAAGAAAAGAACAAGACACAGAGAUUACGUGGUUCCGACUUAAGCUGAUUGCUUAAUCGUACGUCCAUAGGGUGCUGGGGUGUUUCUCUAUGAUGAAAAUAUGUCAGAGUCACAAAAAGAGACAGCCCUAACUUUGCUUUUAUAUGCA
Molecule: long non-coding RNA, 762 nt
Organism: Rhododendron vialii
Lineage: Eukaryota; Viridiplantae; Streptophyta; Magnoliopsida; Ericales; Ericaceae
Exons: 3
Source: RefSeq, a predicted model, not a curated record